RNAcentral lists this unclassified non-coding RNA (231 nucleotides) under uncultured Lepista. RNAcentral describes it as "sequence contains ITS1". Lineage: Eukaryota; Fungi; Basidiomycota; Agaricomycetes; Agaricales; Tricholomataceae. The record is from RNAcentral.
UUGAAUAAACUUGGUUGGGUUGUUGCUGGCUUUUCGGAGCAUGUGCACGCCUAGCGCCAUUUUUACCACCUGUGCACUUCUUGUAGAUUUGAAACACCUCUCGAGGCAACUCGGUUUGAGGAUUGCUGUGCGAAAGCCCGGCUUUCCUUGCGUUUCAAGUCUAUGUUUUUACAUACCCCAUAAGAAUGUUUUAGAAUGUCAUUAAUGGGCUUGACAGCCUCUAAAUUAAUA